GACGAACGCUGGCGGCGUGCCUAAUACAUGCCAGUUGAGCGCUGAAGGCUGGUACUUGUACCAACUGGAUGAGCCGCAAACGGGUGAGUAACGCGUGGGGAAUCUGCCUUUGAGCGGGGGACAACCUUUGGAAACGAAUGCUAAUACCGCAUAAAAACUUUAAACACAAGUUUGAAGUUUGAAAGAUGCAAUUGCAUCACUCAAAGAUGAUCCCGCGGUGUAUUAGCUGGUUGGUGAGGUAAAGGCUCACCAAGGCGAGGUUACAUAGCCGACCUGAGAGGGUGGUCGGCCAGACUGGGACUGAGACACGGCCCAAACGCCUACGGGAGGCAGCAGGAGGGAAUCUUCGGCAAUGGACGGAAGUCUGAGCGAGAAACGCCGCGUGCGUGAAGAAGGAUGUCGGAUCGUAAAACUCUGUUGGUGGGGAAGAACGUUGGUGAGAGUGGAAAGCUCAUCAAGUGACGGUAACUACUCAGAAAGGGACGGCUAACUACGUG
This 497-nucleotide ribosomal RNA is filed under the name uncultured bacterium. RNAcentral describes it as "partial 16S ribosomal RNA". It matches the Rfam family "Bacterial small subunit ribosomal RNA", at positions 28 to 507 of the family's 1533-position model. The record is from RNAcentral.